GAUGAACGCUGGCGGCGUGCCUAAUACAUGCAAGUCGAGCGAACGGACGAGAAGCUUGCUUCUCUGAUGUUAGCGGCGGACGGGUGAGUAACACGUGGAUAACCUACCUAUAAGACUGGGAUAACUUCGGGAAACCGGAGCUAAUACCGGAUAAUAUUUUGAGCCGCAUGGUUCAAAAGUGAAAGACGGUCUUGCUGUCACUUAUAGAUGGAUCCGCGCUGCAUUAGCUAGUUGGUAAGGUAACGGCUUACCAAGGCAACGAUGCAUAGCCGACCUGAGAGGGUGAUCGGCCACACUGGAACUGAGACACGGUCCAGACUCCUACGGGAGGCAGCAGUAGGGAAUCUUCCGCAAUGGGCGAAAGCCUGACGGAGCAACGCCGCGUGAGUGAUGAAGGUCUUCGGAUCGUAAAACUCUGUUAUUAGGGAAGAACAUAUGUGUAAGUAACUGUGCACAUCUUGACGGUACCGAAUCAGAAAGCCACGGCUAACUACGU
Molecule: ribosomal RNA, 496 nt
Filed under: uncultured bacterium
Lineage: Bacteria
Description: partial 16S ribosomal RNA
Rfam family: Bacterial small subunit ribosomal RNA
Source: RNAcentral